GCCUCCGUAGCUCAGUGGAAGAGCGACGGCCUUCUAAUCCGUUGGUCGCAGGUUCGAAUCCUGCCGGGGGCACAA
RNAcentral lists this transfer RNA (75 nucleotides) under Microbacterium sp. RNAcentral's name for it is "tRNA-Arg". It matches the Rfam family "tRNA". From Rfam's summary of the family: Transfer RNA (tRNA) molecules are approximately 80 nucleotides in length. Their secondary structure includes four short double-helical elements and three loops (D, anti-codon, and T loops). Further hydrogen bonds mediate the characteristic L-shaped molecular structure. tRNAs have two regions of fundamental functional importance: the anti-codon, which is responsible for specific mRNA codon recognition, and the 3' end, to which the tRNAs corresponding amino acid is attached (by aminoacyl-tRNA synthetases). tRNAs cope with the degeneracy of the genetic code in two manners: having more than one tRNA (with a specific anti-codon) for a particular amino acid; and 'wobble' base-pairing, i.e. permitting non-standard base-pairing at the 3rd anti-codon position. The record is from RNAcentral. Lineage: Bacteria; Bacillati; Actinomycetota; Actinomycetes; Micrococcales; Microbacteriaceae.